GACGAACGCUGGCGGCGUGCUUAACACAUGCAAGUCGAGCGGUAAGGCCCUUUCGGGGGUACACGAGCGGCGAACGGGUGAGUAACACGUGGGUGACCUGCCCUCAGCUCUGGGAUAAGCCUGGGAAACCGGGUCUAAUACCGGAUAUGACUCCAUGACGCAUGUUGUGGGGUGGAAAGCCUUGUGCGGCUGAGGAUGGGCCCGCGGCCUAUCAGCUUGUUGGUGGGGNGAUGGCCUACCAAGGCGACGACGGGUAGCCGGCCUGAGAGGGCGACCGGCCACACUGGGACUGAGACACGGCCCGGACUCCUACGGGAGGCAGCAGUGGGGAAUCUUGCGCAAUGGGCGAAAGCCUGACGCAGCGACGCCGCGUGAGGGAUGACGGCCUGGU
RNAcentral lists this ribosomal RNA (391 nucleotides) under uncultured bacterium. Its description in RNAcentral is "bacterial SSU rRNA". It matches the Rfam family "Bacterial small subunit ribosomal RNA", at positions 28 to 420 of the family's 1533-position model. The record is from RNAcentral.